Molecule: long non-coding RNA, 281 nt
Filed under: Gossypium barbadense (sea-island cotton)
Lineage: Eukaryota; Viridiplantae; Streptophyta; Magnoliopsida; Malvales; Malvaceae
Description: long non-coding RNA (GBAR_LNC015541)
Source: RNAcentral
UUCAAUCUGCUCCACUGCAACUUCAGGAAGAUAAGAUUCGCUGCAAUUUGUAACUUUUAAUCUGUUCCACUGCAACACCAGGGAAAUAAGAUUCGCUGUCUUCAGUCUGCUCCACUACCACUUCAGGGAGAUAAGGUUGGUGGCUUCAAUCUGCUCCACUGUAACUUCAGGAAGAUAAGAUUUACCAUAAUUUGUAGCUGUAAUCUGUUCCACUGCAACGCCAGGGAAAUAAGAUUCACUGUAAUGACUUCAAAUCAUCCCAUUACAACUUCAGGGAUAUG